Cucumis sativus (cucumber) is the source of this 412-nucleotide long non-coding RNA. RefSeq lists it as uncharacterized. NCBI's taxonomy places the organism in Eukaryota, Viridiplantae, Streptophyta, Magnoliopsida, Cucurbitales, Cucurbitaceae. The record is from RefSeq and is a predicted model, not a curated record. The transcript has 2 exons.
AUGGAACUUCCUAUUACAAUAAUCUCUUCCAUAAUAUACAUAUUUCAACAAUAUCUCUUUCAUUUGUCUACCCAAAACCAAAAUUUGAUUCAAAGAUGGCUUCUGUUGUUUGGAAGAAACUCUUGUCAAUUGUUAGACUCAUUGUUCCUUCCAAAGCAAAUGCAAAGAGAUUGAGUUCCACAAACGAUAUUGAUGGUAUGAAGAAAAAGAAGUUUCCUCCUCGUCCAUUUGAUGAAGAAAGUUCUGCUGCUCCUCGCAAUGGGAACUAUUGAUUCUUAAAUUGUAUAUACAAUUUUCCGUUAUCAUUUUUAUUAUCAUGAAAUAAUUAUACCUGUUGUUUUUUAAUUUUCAAUCUUUUAUACCAAAGAAUAUAUAUAUAUCAAUUCUAGCUCUAAUCCGAUUAUUUCCUUAA